Molecule: ribosomal RNA, 497 nt
Filed under: uncultured bacterium
Lineage: Bacteria
Description: partial 16S ribosomal RNA
Rfam family: Bacterial small subunit ribosomal RNA
Source: RNAcentral
GAUGAACGCUGGCGGCGUGCCUAAUACAUGCAAGUCGAGCGAACAGACGAGGAGCUUGCUCCUCUGACGUUAGCGGCGGACGGGGGAGUAACACGUGGAUAACCUACCUAUAAGACUGGGAUAACUUCGGGAAACCGGAGCUAAUACCGGAUAAUAUAUUGAACCGCAUGGUUCAAUAGUGAAAGACGGUUUUGCUGUCACUUAUAGAUGGAUCCGCGCCGCAUUAGCUAGUUGGUAAGGUAACGGCUUACCAAGGCGACGAUGCGUAGCCGACCUGAGAGGGUGAUCGGCCACACUGGACCGGAGACACGGUCCAGACUCCUACGGGAGGCAGCAGUAGGGAAUCUUCCGCAAUGGGCGAAAGCCUGACGGAGAAACGCCGCGUGAGUGAUGAAGGUCUUCGGAUCGUAAAACUCUGUUAUUAGGGAAGAACAAAUGUGUAAGUAACUAUGCACGUCUUGACGGUACCUAAUCAGAAAGCCACGGCUAACUACGUG